ACUAGACAGCCACUUGUUCUCAAAUCACUUCUUCCCGGACUCCCAGACUCCUCCCAAAACCCUCGCAUCCUCUCCCACGCAUGUCACAAUCGCCAUGACCGACAGAAACCCCGCCGCCGCCUCAAGCAAGCGUCACUGUGACCUCUCCCUCGACGAUCCCACGCCGUCGGCCAAGCUCCAGCGGUGCUCCGAGCCGUCAGAACCAACGCCGGCGGGGAAACCGAACGGCGGCGCGGCGACGGGAGAGGAGAGCGAGAUGAUGGCCGGCGCACGGAACCCUAGGGCGCAGAGGUACCUGGUCGCCGUGGAGUACAUUGGCACCCGCUUCUCCGGCUCACAGAAGCAGCCCAACCAGCGCACCGUCACUGGGGUCCUCGAGGAGGCAUUUCACCGAUUUAUUGGGCAGCCAGUUUCAAUAAUCUUUUCUAGCCGAACGGAUGCAGGUGUUCAUGCUUUAUCAAAUGUUUGUCAUGUUGAUGUUGAGCGGAUAAGUAAAAGGAAGCCUGGCGAAGUUUUAACACCUCAUGAGCCUGGAGUUGUAAAACGUGCUGUGAACCACUUUCUACUGAAGAGUGAAGGUGACAUAAUGGUGACUGAUGUCUGCUGUGUUGCACCAGAUUUUCAUGCUAGAUACAAAUCUCUAGAGCGCACAUAUCACUAUCGCUUGCUUGCUGGACCUGAAUCAACAUCUGUUUUUGAGAAAAACUCUGUUUGGCAUAUAUCUGAAGAUUUGGAUAUUCAGUCAAUGAAGAAAGCAUGCAGCAUACUUGUUGGGCAUCAUGAUUUCAGUUCAUUUCGAGCGGCUGGAUGUCAGGCAAACUCUCCAGUGCGAACUCUGGAUGAACUUAGUGUUACAGAAGUAUUCCCUUUCAUGUUUUUUCCUUCAAGUGUAGAAAGAUCAGAGUUGGAAUUAUCAAAUGUCUCUCUUGUUUAUUCAAGGAAACCAGACAUGGAAUCUUCUGGGAAAGGAUCUGAUGGUUCCUGUACCAGUAGUGUGAAAUCAGAUUUUGAGAAUGGAAAAGAUUUUGGAAAGCGGUCAAGGCACCGUUGCUUUGUUGUUACUGCAAGGGCACGGUCUUUUCUUUACCACCAGGUAAGGUUGAUGGUCGGUCUUCUAAAAUCUGUUGGGACUGGAGAUCUAACAACUGCAGAUGUUGAGAGAAUUCUGGAUGCAAAGACGGUUACUGCUGCACCCAGUAUGGCACCUUCUUGUGGUCUGUACCUUGCUAACGUUAAAUAUGAUCUGAAUACCUGAAGACAAGUUUUAUCUAGUGGCUUCUGUUGGUGGGCCUCCAGAUUUUGUCAGCUGUUGGCUAUCAAAGGUAUACCUGAAUCCAAUCUAUGAAUAGUGCACCUCAGUGAGUGCAACUUUGAAGUAUCUGUACCAGGAAUUAUAUGCUGCCACUUGCCAAAGCUUUCAGUUGCCUGUUUUGUCCACUGAAUCUUGCAUGGUGAUUGAAAACCUAGAAUUAAGUUUAUCUGUCAGCACAAGAGCCGGCUUCAUUCUCUUCUUGUACACAGAGCUCUUCUGCAUGUUCAGAAACAAAAUAGGUAGCUUCAUUUUAGUUAAGUUCAACUAUCCACUCUUUAAAUUUCAGCUGGAUCCACCCGAUUUUGUUGGGUGUACGUAGAUUUGACCUGGUAGGGGCAAAAUUUUAUUUCUUGGUUUUCUCAUGACUGUACUUGGUUCUUGAUAUAUAAUUAAUUAGCCAAAUGCGUUGUGUGCAUAUUGAAAAUAUUCUUUUCUGUUCCUUGAUAAAUUA
This is an RNA transcript of Zea mays, 1763 nucleotides long. It is a transcript of the gene named pseudouridylate synthase, with no coding region annotated. The record is from RefSeq and is marked validated. Lineage: Eukaryota; Viridiplantae; Streptophyta; Magnoliopsida; Poales; Poaceae. The transcript is spliced from 11 exons.